This is a long non-coding RNA of Lemur catta (Ring-tailed lemur), 819 nucleotides long. RefSeq lists it as uncharacterized. The transcript has 3 exons. Lineage: Eukaryota; Metazoa; Chordata; Mammalia; Primates; Lemuridae. The record is from RefSeq and is a predicted model, not a curated record.
GCGACCGCCCGGCCCGGUCCCGGCGCCCGCAGUUCGCGGCACCCGCGGGUCGGAGCGCGGUGCCUGCGGCCUUUGUCCCUGCGCCUUCCCCGCCCCCAGCCCGCCUGCCCGGGCUCGCCCCUUUGCCCCUGAGACCCGGGUGGGGCCGGGGACCGCGGGCGGGGGGGGGCCUGGGCAGCCGUCGGGCCCGCGGUUAGACCGGACGAACUCGGGAGAGGGCGCGCACCCCGAUUGCCGCGGUGAACCCCGUCCCAUCCCCACCGCAGAACUUCCUAUCCAGGAACUACUUCAGGAACCAGGCAACACUGAACAGGUCUGUGUGAGGCCUGAGAUUCUACAUUUUUAAUAAGUUACAUUCCCACCAGGUGAUUUUUUGAAAUUAUUCCCAGACCACACUCCAAGAAAUGCUGCUCUAAGAGAAUCUGCCCGGAGUCUGGAGGUUCAGAGAGAAGCAGAAGGGAGCAGGUGACUCCCAAGGUUCACUCUCCAUCCGGCUCUGCUGCCUGGGAAGCUGAUGUUUAUGGACCACAUCAACAAGCUCCCUGGACCUCUGGCUUCUGGUGAGAUUUGGCCAGUGGGAGGCACUGUAAGAAAUCAGAGCAAGAGGAGAAUCUCUACUGAGAGUCACAGCUCUGUCAGGUGGCCCCCACCAGCUUUCGGGUCCAGCCCCCCACCCAACCAGGGCUGGGAUGCCUAAUGCCUGAUGCCUCCCCGUGGUGCUAGCUUCAGGGAACCACAGUGCAGUGCACCUUGGGGUUUCCCUUAACCCUACUUACACCUUUGUGGAGUCCCUUUAAUAAACACUCUUCAGAUUCCUCA